UGGGGAAUAUUGCGCAAUGGGGGCAACCCUGACGCAGCAACGCCGCGUGCGGGACGACGGCCUUCGGGUUGUAAACCGCUUUCAGCAGGGAAGAUAGUGACGGUACCUGCACAAGAAGCCCCGGCUAACUACGUGCCAGCAGCCGCGGUAAUACGUAGGGGGCGAGCGUUAUCCGGAUUCAUUGGGCGUAAAGCGCGCGCAGGUGGUUUAGAAAGUCUGAUGUGAAAGCCCACGGCUCAACCGUGGAGGGUCAUUGGAAACUAAUAAACUUGAGUGCAGGAGAGAAAAGUGGAAUUCCUAGUGUAGCGGUGAAAUGCGUAGAGAUUAGGAGGAACACCGGUGGCGAAAGCGGCUUUUUGGCCUGCAACUGACACUGAGGCGCGAAAGCGUGGGGAGCAAACAGG
RNAcentral lists this ribosomal RNA (404 nucleotides) under Verrucomicrobiota bacterium. RNAcentral's name for it is "Verrucomicrobia bacterium partial 16S ribosomal RNA". It matches the Rfam family "Bacterial small subunit ribosomal RNA", at positions 355 to 776 of the family's 1533-position model. The record is from RNAcentral. Lineage: Bacteria; Pseudomonadati; Verrucomicrobiota.